UCUAAUGUCUCCGCUUUGCCACCU
This 24-nucleotide small RNA is filed under the name Arabidopsis thaliana (thale cress). RNAcentral describes it as "ATSL183380". Lineage: Eukaryota; Viridiplantae; Streptophyta; Magnoliopsida; Brassicales; Brassicaceae. The record is from RNAcentral.